AUGUCAUGUGCAGAAUCCGCUACAGUUUCUUUGAAAAUAGCACAGUCAAACAUUCAAAAUUUAAGUGACGUUAAUGGGGAAGAGAGGAGGAGGUGGUGGUUAUAGCCAUGUCUACACUACUCUUUACAGAAGACAUAGAUGUCAGUGGUCCUUCACUCAUCUCAGAAAACAACUCACGACUCCAGCAGCUUGCAUGAUGAAACGGAAGAUCAUCAUUUGAGCUAUUCCACUGAAGUCAAGCAUGAAAUCUAUUUAGCUGGAUAGCUACCCAUUUCCUGUGACCUGCAAAAGAGAUGCCCUAUUCUUUCAGGAUCCUUGGAAUGCCACAUGCCCAGGCCCACUGGAAAACUGGGAAGGAAAACUGGAGCCACAUGCCUGGGCCCACUGAGAUUCAUCACCCUUCCCCUACAACCCUGUGUCAAGGAAACACAAAGAUAGAGUGGAUUUCAGCACCACCCAAUGCAGACGCAUGGCUGCUAGUUUAUCAGCAUAGGUCAAUGAAUGGUUUUAAGUUGCUACGGGUUUAAGAGGAUCUCUUAGUUGAUGGGAAUUUUUGAAUCUUUUUUUUGCGUGGGACCCUUUGGCAGUUUUGUAAAAUGUACAGACUAUUUCUCAGAAUGUUUCUAAACGUGUAAGUUAUAUUGAAAUUGGCCAGGCACGGUGGUUCAUGCCUGUAAUCCCAGCAUUUUGGGAGGCCGAGGUGGGCGGAUCACUUGAGGUCAGGAGUUUGAGACCAACCUGGCCAACAUGGUGAAACCCCGUCUCUACUAAAAAAAUACAAAAGUUAGCCAGGCGUGGUGGUGUGUGCCUGUAAUCCCAGCUACUUGGGAGGCUGAGGCAAGGCGAAUCACAUAAACCUGG
This 861-nucleotide long non-coding RNA is filed under the name Pan troglodytes (chimpanzee). RNAcentral describes it as "long non-coding RNA NONPTRT010096". Lineage: Eukaryota; Metazoa; Chordata; Mammalia; Primates; Hominidae. The record is from RNAcentral.